UACGGAGGGUGCGAGCGUUAAUCGGAAUUACUGGGCGUAAAGGGUACGUAGGUUGUUUAUCAAGUUAACUGUAAAAUUCCUGGGCUCAACCUGGGAUUGUCAGUUAAGACUGAAAGGCUAGAGUAUAGGAGAGGGUAGUGGAAUUUCCGGUGUAGCGGUGAAAUGCGUAGAGAUCGGAAGGAACACCGGUGGCGAAGGCGGCUACCUGGCCUAAUACUGACACUGAGGUACGAAAGCGUGGGGAGCAAACAGG
RNAcentral lists this ribosomal RNA (253 nucleotides) under uncultured Legionella sp. RNAcentral's name for it is "partial 16S ribosomal RNA". It matches the Rfam family "Bacterial small subunit ribosomal RNA", at positions 524 to 776 of the family's 1533-position model. The record is from RNAcentral. Lineage: Bacteria; Pseudomonadati; Pseudomonadota; Gammaproteobacteria; Legionellales; Legionellaceae.